UCUGUCUCCAGAAGCCCUUUGACCAUUUGUGUUAAAAAGGUAUCUUAAAAGAUAUCACAAGUGUGAAAUCACCCAAAUAGUAGAGCAAUAGUAUAAAUAGACAGCAGUUCGGGCUUAUCAGGAACGGUCCAGGAAGGUGAAGAAGCAUAACAGAAUAACAGGGUGAAUUAGAAUUGAUUACUCUGCCUUCUAUUUCUGCAAUGUACGACUGGUUCAUCUGCAGCUUGUGGGUGGUGGAAACAGAUGAUUAAACUGAAAUAGAAGAUGAAAAUUAGCCCAGAUAACAAGAUAUCCUGACGAAUACCCUGGGUGGGUAUUUCUCAUUUACAGGGAACAGGCAGAAGAUACAAAAGCACAUUCCACCAAGGACAGCUUCUACCCAUCUUUAUAAGUUUAUUGAAUGAUGCUCUAUCAGUUUUUUUUUUAAAUAGUUCAAAAAAUGUACAGAAAAUGCUGGAGGAACUCAGCAGGUCAGGCAACAUCUAGGAAGAGUACGGUCAAUGUUUCGUGCUGAAACAUCAACAGGACACUUUUUCUAGAUGCUGCCUGGCCUGCUGAGUUCCUCCAGCAUUUUGUGUGUGUUGCUCAGAUAUCCAGCAUCAGCAGAUUUUCUCUGGUUUUAAAGAUUGCAAUUUUUUAAAACCAUUCAUUAAUAAACUACAUUUCAUUGCCUCUGCCUUGGCACAGAAUGAAACCAAUCUAUUAUCCCUCUCAACCCCACUCUCCUGCCUUCUCCCAUAACCUUUGAUGCCCUGACCAACCAAGAACCUAUCAACCUUUGCUUUAAAUAUACUCAAUGACUUUGCCUCCACAGCUGUCCAUGGCAAUGAAUUUCAGAUUCACCACCAUCUGGCUAAAAAAAAAAUGCCUUCUCAUUUCUGUUCUAAAUGCACGUCCUCUAUUCAGAGGCUGUGCCCUUUGAUCCUAGACAAACACAAUAUAGGAAACAUGCUCCCCAAACCCACUCUGUCUCAGCCUUUCAAUACUCCCCCCUCAUUCUUCAAAACUCCAGCGAGUACAGGCCUAGAGCCAUCACACAGACCUCACACGUUAACACUUUCAUUCCCAGAAUCAUUCUUGUGAUAUUUAUUUCUUCUACCAAGUGAAUGGCCAUACACUUCCCUACACUGUAUUUCCUCUGCCACUUCUUUGCCCAUUCUGCCAAUCUGUCCAAGUUCAAUAAAGUCAAUUCAAUUCAAUUCAAUUCUGUCACCUACAAGUAUCCUGAAACCUCACCCUUAUUAAUGGACUCUGACAUCUUCACCAAAUGGCCUAUAAUUUCUUUUCUUCUGCCUCCCUUCCUUCUUAAAGAGUGGAGUGACAUUUGUAAUUUUCUAGUCCUCCAGAAUCUAGUGAUUCUUGAAAGAUCUUUACUAAUGCCUCCACAAUCUCUUCAGCAACUUCUUUCAGAACCCUGGGGUGUAAUUGAUCUGAUCCAGGUGACUUAUCUACCUUCAGAUCAAUCAGCUUUAAUCACAAAUAAAUUGUUGAACAGACGCAGGCAGUCCGCAUCUCACCUAGAGGCCAAUGCAGAGAAAGGCUGUCAACUUGAAACAUUAAUUCCAUUUCCCUCUUCACACACACUGAUCUGAUGAGUGUUUUUAUCAUUUUUAUUUCCGACACCUGAAUAAUAUUGUCACUAUGCCUCAGCUGAUAGCUGGAACCUCCUACGUUCAAUCUGCUUCAGUCUGCAUCAAACUAUUGCCCUUGAUGGAGUCCACAGUCUGAUGAAGUGCACUUUAUAUCAACGAUCUGCCCACUCAAA
Molecule: long non-coding RNA, 1765 nt
Organism: Mobula hypostoma (lesser devil ray)
Lineage: Eukaryota; Metazoa; Chordata; Chondrichthyes; Myliobatiformes; Myliobatidae
Exons: 3
Source: RefSeq, a predicted model, not a curated record